This 498-nucleotide ribosomal RNA is filed under the name uncultured bacterium. RNAcentral describes it as "partial 16S ribosomal RNA". It matches the Rfam family "Bacterial small subunit ribosomal RNA", at positions 30 to 523 of the family's 1533-position model. The record is from RNAcentral.
AUUGAACGCUGGCGGAAUGCUUUACACAUGCAAGUCGAACGGCAGCACGGGGCAACCUGGUGGCGAGUGGCGAACGGGUGAGUAAUACAUCGGAACGUGCCCAGUCGUGGGGGAUAACGUAGCGAAAGCUACGCUAAUACCGCAUACGAUCUAUGGAUGAAAGCGGGGGACCGUAAGGCCUCGCGCGAUUGGAGCGGCCGAUGGCAGAUUAGGUAGUUGGUGGGGUAAAGGCUCACCAAGCCUGCGAUCUGUAGCCGGUCUGAGAGGACGACCAGCCACACUGGGACUGAGACACGGCCCAGACUCCUACGGGAGGCAGCAGUGGGGAAUUUUGGACAAUGGGCGCAAGCCUGAUCCAGCCAUUCCGCGUGCAGGAUGAAGGCCUUCGGGUUGUAAACUGCUUUUGUACGGAACGAAAGGCCUUUUUCUAAUACAAGAAGGUCAUGACGGUACCGUAAGAAUAAGCACCGGCUAACUACGUGCCAGCCGCCGCGGUAA